GCCUAACACAUGCAAGUCGAACGAAGUAGCAAUACUUAGUGGCAGACGGGUGAGUAUACAUGUAGGUAUCUGCCCUUUGGCCUGGAAUAACACGAGGAAACUUGUGCUAAUACCGGAUAAGUCUUUACGGAGAAAGCUUUAUGCACCAUUGGAUGAGCCUGCACUUGAUUAGUUUGUUGGUGGGGUAAUGGCCUACCAAGACUGUGAUCAAUAGCUGAUUUGAGAGGAUGAUCAGCCACAUUGGGACUGAGACACGGCCCAAACUCCUACGGGAGGCAGCAGUGGGGAAUCUUGCACAAUGGAGGAAACUCUGAUGCAGCGAUGCCGCGUGAGUGAAGAAGGCCCUUGGGUUGUAAAGCUCUUUCGUCGGGGAAGAAAAUGACUGUACCCGAAUAAGAAGGUCCGGCUAACUUCGUGCCAGCAGCCGCGGUAAUACGAAGGGACCUAGCGUAGUUCGGAAUUACUGGGCUUAAAGAGUUCGUAGGUGGUUGAAAAAGUUAGUGGUGAAAUCCCAGAGCUUAACUCUGGAACUGCCAUUAAAACUUUUCAGCUAGAGUAUGAUAGAGGAAAGCAGA
This 575-nucleotide ribosomal RNA is filed under the name uncultured Alphaproteobacteria bacterium. Its description in RNAcentral is "bacterial SSU rRNA". It matches the Rfam family "Bacterial small subunit ribosomal RNA", at positions 46 to 665 of the family's 1533-position model. Lineage: Bacteria; Pseudomonadati; Pseudomonadota; Alphaproteobacteria. The record is from RNAcentral.